AUGCUGUGGUUCAGCCUGACAGCUCAUUGGUCAAUGGGCAGCAGCUCAUUUGCAUCAAAGCUGCAGACACCAGAAACAGAGCAUUCUGAAGGGACUGCAACAGAGGGGAAUAGCGGUAAUGGAGGAGCUUUCUACGUUAUAAAUUUUCAGUCCAAGCUGAGGCUGUUGAAUUCCAUUGACUUUGACUAUAAUAAGGAACCCACAUUUACUGUAAAGCAGGUGUUUGCCCUCAAACCUAAACAGAAAGUUGGAAAGAUCGAGGCGAAGGUUGUGUGGCUGGAGAACUCCAGUAAAAUGGUCAAGGUCCAUGGCAAAAUGCUGCAGCUCAAGGAUUGCCAUGUUGCUGACCACACGAGCAAGAUUAAGCUGCAACUCUGGGGUGGACUUAUUGGCCAAGUGAAGCAGGACGAGUCCUACGUCUUGAAGGACCUGUCGGUCCGUGGAAAUGGAGAGUUGUAUCUGACGUCUACAAAGAACACCACCAUCCGGAUCUCAGGAGGAGAAGCAGGAGAGGAGCAGGUGGUGAAGCAGGAGGAGGAGGAGGAGCAGGUGCUGAAGCAGGAGGAGGAGGAGGAGGAAAAGGAGGAGGAGGUGCUGAAGGAGCUGAAGCAGGAGGAGGAGGAGGAGCAGGAGGUGAAGCAGGUGCUGAAGCCGGAGGAGGAGGAGGAGCAGGACUUGGUGCAGGAGUUGAAGCAGGAGAUGAUCACCACGGUGCGGGGACCAGUCUGUGGCAUCCAACUAGCUGCCCAACGGCAGUGCAGCCAUUGCCACAAAGGGCAGCUGGCCUUCAACCUAACGGACAUAAACCAUCGCUGCGAGGCCUGUGGCUUCUAUCAGAAGGUCGGGUCAUAUGUAAAGGCUGCCACCGGGAAAGUCAUGGUCAAUAAGGGGGAUGUGAAACUCUCGUUGAAAUUGACCUCGACUGUCCUGAUGACAUACCUGAGUCAAAACAACCUCCAGGAGCUGCUUGCAGAUGUGCAGUUGGUGGAGGGGCACUUUUUGGAAGUGGGGUUGUUUGUUAUCCAAUACAAUGCCAACAAUGAGGUUGUCGUUGUCACAACAGGGGAUGUUUGA
This 1074-nucleotide long non-coding RNA is filed under the name Gadus morhua (Atlantic cod). RNAcentral's name for it is "lncRNA (ENSGMOG00000029449.1)". Lineage: Eukaryota; Metazoa; Chordata; Actinopteri; Gadiformes; Gadidae. The record is from RNAcentral.